GGGGAUUUGGCUCAGUGGUAGAGCGCUUGCCUAGGAAGCGCAAGGUCCUGGGUUCAGUACCCAGCCCCG
This 69-nucleotide transfer RNA is filed under the name Rattus norvegicus (Norway rat). It matches the Rfam family "tRNA". From Rfam's summary of the family: Transfer RNA (tRNA) molecules are approximately 80 nucleotides in length. Their secondary structure includes four short double-helical elements and three loops (D, anti-codon, and T loops). Lineage: Eukaryota; Metazoa; Chordata; Mammalia; Rodentia; Muridae. The record is from Rfam by way of RNAcentral.